Molecule: ribosomal RNA, 429 nt
Filed under: Chloroflexota bacterium
Lineage: Bacteria; Bacillati; Chloroflexota
Description: Chloroflexi bacterium partial 16S ribosomal RNA
Rfam family: Bacterial small subunit ribosomal RNA
Source: RNAcentral
UGGGGAAUAUUGCACAAUGGGCGCAAGCCUGAUGCAGCCAUGCCGCGUGUAUGAAGAAGGCCUUCGGGUUGUAAAGUACUUUCAGCGGGGAGGAAGGGAGUAAAGUUAAUACCUUUACCCAUUGACGUUACCCGCAGAAGAAGCACCGGCUAACUCCGUGCCAGCAGCCGCGGUAAUACGGAGGGUGCAAGCGUUAAUCGGAAUUACUGGGCGUAAAGCGCACGCAGGCGGUUGAUUGAGUCAGAUGUGAAAUCCCCGGGCUUAACCCGGGAAUUGCAUCUGAUACUGGUCAGCUAGAGUCUUGUAGAGGGGGGUAGAAUUCCAGGUGUAGCGGUGAAAUGCGUAGAGAUCUGGAGGAAUACCGGUGGCGAAGGCGGCCCCCUGGACGAAGACUGACGCUCAGGUGCGAAAGCGUGGGGAGCAAACAGG